Triticum aestivum (bread wheat) is the source of this 595-nucleotide long non-coding RNA. RefSeq lists it as uncharacterized. The transcript is spliced from 4 exons. Lineage: Eukaryota; Viridiplantae; Streptophyta; Magnoliopsida; Poales; Poaceae. The record is from RefSeq and is a predicted model, not a curated record.
AGCCCGGCGCGUGCGGCGAAAGCCGCGUCCGCCGUUGCCGCCUCUCUCUCUCUCUCUCUCUCUCUCGCCUUCGCCGCCUCCUCCCCGCGCAACGCGGCACGCCCGCCUCGCCCUCCCUCCCUCCUCGGCGCCCCGGCGAUCGAAGGCACCCAACUUAGUUGCCACUACCAAGACAUCUAUUAAGCAGACUGUAUACAAAUUAGUAUCACACAAAGGUGUGGAGAAGACUGCAAGUAGCCAUCAAGGUUCUACCCUGAAGUUACUUAUUCUCUGCCACUGUGACUGAAUGAACACAAACAAUUCUACAUGAGUUCCACUUGUGAGCUAGCGUAAGGCAGAUUUGUGUCAACAACAGCUGGGCUUGUGUCGUUACUCGAACCAGUAUAAUCUUGGAACGCAUGAUUGCUCCAAAGUUCACAUCCUCUAGACCCAGGGUUAAUUAAGGUGAUUAUGAGAUGAGACCCCAGAUACAUGUGUUGAACAGACAAUAUCAUUUGAUACUGAAGGUUCUACCCUGAAGUUACUCUCUGCCAUUAUUAACUGAAUGAACACAAACAAUUCUACAUGAGUUCCACUGGUUAGCUAGCUAUUACAC